GAGGGGGCCACGCCCACUCAGCGCUUGUGCUCCCGCCCCGACUGUUACUUAGCGCUCGAGGGGUGGGGCUGUCUGGAAAAUUGUCCAAUUAGAGGUUUGGGGGGUGGAGCCGCGGACACUGUCCAAUGAGAAGCUUCAGUGGUGUGUAGGUGGUGCGACGCUUUGCAAUCCUCUUCGUGCGUAAUAUUUCUGCGCCGCAGCUGGGAGAUGUGUCUUACCUGCUCCUCGUGUUGCUUGUCUUCACGGAGAGGACCCUGGAAGGUCUGCAGAAACCGGCCCUGGUCAUGCUGUUACCUUUUUGCCUUAUGGAGUUGACUCUGUUUCUCCGCUGCCUAACUCCAGUCGAAGUAGCAGCUCCUUCUUGGUGGCUGAUAUAGGACUCAGUGGUCUUUGACAUGUGCCUGUGAACUUCACGCGGGAAGAGUGGGCUUUACUGAGUGCUUCUCAGAGGAAGCUCUACAAGGAUGUGUUGCUGGAAACCUUCUGGAACUUGGCAUCAGUAGACAGGUGUAUUCAAGUUAAAACCACUGGAUCAAAUCCUCAGCAGAAUAUUUUUGGGAAUGAAGUGUCCAAUGAUGAGAAAUUAAAAGUUUGAUAAGAAAUGAUUCCUUGUCCAAUUUGGAAGAAAAAGGGAAGCUUCAUAACAUUGAAGUACAGCCCCAAAUCCAGAAGGAACAGCUGAGGGAAUAUGUGAGCAGCCUCAAAGGACAGAAAAAUCCCUGCAUGUGAAUUAUGUGGGAAAAUCUUUAUGUAUUACUCUUCCUUUCAACUACAUUUAAGAUAUCACAGUGGCAAGAAACCUUAUGAAUGUGGAAAAUCCUUCAGUUGUUACUCCUGCCUUCAUGGACAUGAGAAAACACACAGUGAACAGAAAACUUAUGAAUGUAAGCAUUGUUCCAAAGUCUUCAGUUGUCCCAAAUACUUUAAAAAAUUUGAAAAUGUAUGUACAGUGGAGGGAAACCCUAUGAAUGUAACCAAUGUGGGAAAGGCUUCAUGGUUCUCUCAUACCUUGAAAGCCAUGUAAGAACACACUAGUGAGAAACUGUUUGAAUGUAAACAAUGUGGGAAAGCUUUCAUUUGGCCCAGCUCCUUCCAGGCACAUAUGAAAAUGCACUCUGAUGAGAAACUCUAUGAACAUAAACAGUGUGGGAAAACCUUUCUGCAUUCCCCCUCCCUUAAAUGACAUUUAAGACGGCACACUGGAGAGAAACCCUAUGAAUGUAAGGAAUGUGAGAAAACCUUCAGUUGUCCCACAUAUUUCUGAGAACAUGUGAGAAUGCACAUGGGAGAGAAACCCUAUGAAUGGAAGCAGUGUGGAAAAGCCUUCACUUGUUACUCUGCCCUUCAUAGAGAUGAGAAAACACACAGCGAACAGAAACUUUAUGAAUGUAAUCAGUAGGGAAAAGGUUUCAGGUGUCCCAAAUACUUUUGACAACACAGGAACAUGCACAGUGGAGAAAAUGUAUGGAAUGUGGGAAUGAAAGGAAUGCGGAAAAAUCUACAGUAUGCCUGCAAACCUUCAACACCAUAUGAAAACGUACAGUGGUGAGAGACCAUGAAUGUAAACAAUGUGGGAAAACCUUCAGAUGGCCUUCCUUCUUAUGAUUUACAUAUGAGAACGCACUCUAGCAAGAAACCCUAUUAUUGUAAGCAAUGUGAGAAAGCCUACAAGUGUCUUCUUAUAUCCCUUCAACAGCAUCUGAGAAAACACACUGGAGAGAAACCAUAUAAAUGUAACCAGUGUGGGAAAGCCUGUAAUUGUUUCACAUACUUUGACCUGCAUAUUUAAAUGCAGAGUGGAGAGACACAGUGUGUAUGUGAGGUGUACAGGAAAGUCUAUAGAUCUUACUCAUGUCUUCCAAAACAUUUGAAUAUGCACUCUGGCAAGAAACCUUAUGAAUGUAAGGAGUGUGGGAAAGCGUACAGGUGUCUCGUAUCCCUUCAGGGAUGUCUGAGAAAACACACUGAGGAGAAACCUUAAGAAUAUAAGGCAUGUUGGAAAGCUGUCUGUAGAAUGGGACUAGUGGUAGCGUCAGUCAGUGCCUGUCUGACUUCACGGGGGAAAAGGACAAUCAGCGUCAGCACAAAGCUGACUCCCAUAAGGUGGAGGUCAGACAUAUAUCCACUCUCCAACCUUUCUACCAAUUCUGACACCAGCCAUCCCUGCCACGGCACUCUAUACUUCUCUGAUCAGUUCAAUAACCCAUGGCAGUAGCCACACAGAAUUCAUAGACCAUAUUUAAGUGGUUUAUUAAGGAACAGGGAACAACUUGGGAUCAGAAUCAACGUGUUAACAACUCAGGAUCAGAAAUAGGAAGCAUGUCUCCCUUCUAAGCUCCUCUUGAUCAUGUAGGCUUCCUCUCAGGCCCCUGAGAACAGGAUCCUCUUGGCCCCCUCAAGACAGGCUCUGCUGCUGGGCCCCUUCCGGGCCUGUUGCCUCUGAAUCUGCUGCCAGGCCCCUUCUGGGCCUCUCGCUGUCUUCAGUGUUACAGCUCUUGACCGGUUUUACAGCUCUUUUAGGAGGUUCCUUGCCUCCUCUGUCUGCUGCAGCUUUCUGCCUCCUACUGCGUCUCUUCUUGCUUCUUUCUGCCCUUUGUGUCUGCUUAACCUCUGUGGGGCUGGCUGCAUAUAUAUACACAACUCUUUGUCAACUUCAAGGUACGGUCUUUCCCACUGGGGGCCCCAAACUGACCAAUUCCAUCUCAGUAGGAUACAAACACUUCAUUUGCCUAGUUUAUUGACCAGUCCCUGCAAGGUGCAUACCAAUCACAGGGCAGGCUGUGGCCCUGUACUAGAUAAAAAGUAACAAAACCAAGUUAUUGACAGCUUACCCAGGAAGUGUCAAUCAACUUGGCAAAAGUAACAAACCCUCUGGGGUAGAAAACUAGGGAAAAGGUAACUCUUUGGUGUUUAGCGGAAAAAUCUCUCAAGCCAUUAUUCCAAGGCAAAAGGCUACAUAAAGGAACUCGUUUCACCACAGCUGUCAUCAUGGGUAAGAUUGGGAGCUGCAUCUCCCAGAGUCUCUUUUGUUUAUGGUUACGGGUUAAAGUUCACAAGAAGAGGAAGGUAUAUGAGUGAAUGUUGGAAGGCAGAAGUGAUGAAGCCAUUCCUCUCUAUUCUGCUGGGCCAUCAGGAGAGAGAGACAGAAGGGGCACAGGGAGAGAGUGGUCAGAGCACCCCUUAAUCUGCUCUGAGCCCCCAUCUGCCCCAGCAGUGAUCUCUGGGGCCCAGCCUCUCCUCUCCCACCCUCAUACUCACCCCACCCCUUGCUGUUCAUCUUUCUCUCCCUUCAUUUCCUUUGUUAAUUGUGAAAUAAACAGAAAAAGAAAUAAAACAUAUGUGCAGUUCGGAUGAAUCAUAAAUCAGGGUCUCCUCCCCUCAAACACUGCUGACAUGGGGGCCGGCUCCUUCUCUGGGGUGGUGCCAUCCUGUGCGUUGGGUGUUGAACAGCAUCCCUGGCCUCUAUCCACUCGUUGCCACUAGCACCUCCUCCCGCUAAUCAUGACAACCACAGAUGCAUCCUGGGAGCAAAGUUGCCCAGGCUCGAGAACCAGCUAUUAAUCAACACCUGGGUACCAAUCGCCCAGGUCGAGAAAUGAACCUCGCCAGCCCCUGUGUAGCCCACUCCAUGAUAACGCCCUCCUCCCCACCUUUGUGGCAACAACUUCUUUGUUUUUCUGUAUAAUUGCACCACCUACGAUUGCCUUCUUAUACCUGCUUAGAUUUCCCUGUUUGGAACUAUUUUAUGGGCUUUCUGUGUAUGUUGUCUGGCUUCUUUCACUUAACAUCCCAUCUUAAAUUUCAUAUUUCGGCGGGGUGUCUCUGGGUGUUGAAAACGGUGUGCAUGAUCACCUGCUACCCAAAAAGUUGGAUGUUUGAGUACACCCAGAGGCACCUUGGAAGAAAGGCCUGGCAGUCUACCUCUGAAGAAUCAGCCAUUGAAAGCCCUAUGGAGAAUAGUUCUGCUAUGACAUAGGGACAUCAUGAGUUGGAGCCACCUUGAUGGCAGCUGGUAAGCUUCAUGCGACACUGAUGGAGAAACAGAUGCACACCAUUGCUGGUGCGAAUGGAAAAUGGCCCAGCCACUGUGGAAAACAUUUUUUCAGAUGGUGCCUGGCUACAAUUGAUGACUGCCCUGACAGGGAAAACAACAGAGAAUCCCUGAUGGAGCAGGAGAACAGUGGGACGCAGACCUCAAAUUCUUGUAAAAAGACCAGACUUAAUGGUCUGACUGAGACUAAAGGAACCCCGGAGGUCAUGGUCCCUGGGCCUUCUGUUAGUCCAAGACUGGAACCAUUCCAAAAACCAACACUUCAGACAGGGAUUGGACUGGACUAUAAGACAGAAAAUGAUACUGAGGUCAUUUAUUCCAAAGGGAGGAAUACUCUCACCUGAAGAUACAUCACUGACUCCAUUGAACUGGAAGUUAAGAAUGCCUCCUGGCCACUUUGGACUCCUUAUACCUCUGGAUCAACAAGAAAAGAAGGGAGUUACAAUAUGGGCUGAGUGAUUGAUCCUGAUUACCAAGAGGAAAUCUGAUUGAUAUUACAUAAAGGAGGUAAAGAAGAGUAUGUCUGGAAUGUAGGAGAUCCCCUAGGGUGUCUCUUAGUAAUAUCAUGCCCUGUAAUUAAAGUUAAUGGAGAACUACAACUACCCACUACUUUUUUGUUGUUGUUGUUAUUGUACUUUAAAAAAAAAAACAAAAACUUUUUUUUUUAUUUUUUAGAUGAAGGUUUAUAGGACAGACUAGUUUCUUAUUAAACAGUGAAUACACACAUUGUUCUAUGACAUUGGUUAACAACCCCAUGACAUGUCAGCACUCUGCCUUCUCAACCCUGGGUUCCCUAUUACUGGCUUUGCUGUUCCCUCCUGCCUUCUAGUCCCUGUCCCGGGCUGGUGUGCCUCUUUAGUCUUGUUUUGUUCCAUGGGUUUGUUCAAUCCUAGGCUGAAUGGUGAACCUCAGGAGUGACCUCAUUACUGAGCUGAAAGGGUGUCCGGGGGCCAUACUCUCAGGGUUUCUCCAGUCUUUGUCAGGCCAGCAAAUCGGGUCUUUCUCCUUGAGUUAGAAUUUUGUUCUACAUUUUCCUCCAGCUCUGUCGGGGACCCUCUAUUGUGAUUCCUGUCAGAGCAGUCAGAGAUGGUGAGCAUUUCCUCCCGCAUGUGUUGGCUGCUUGAAUAUCUUUGGUGAAGUCUCUGUUCAUUUCCUUUGCCCGUUUUUUAAUUGGAUUAUUUGUCUUUUAGUUGUAGAGGUGUUGGAUUCUCUUGUAGAUUUCAGAGAUUAGACCUUUGUCUGAUUUGUAAUAGCCAAUUUUUUCCCCCAGUCUGUAGGUUCUGUUUUGAUGAAGUCUUUUGAUGAGCAUAAGUGUUUAAUUUUUAGAAGAUCCCAGUUAUCUAGCUUAUCCUCUGGAGCUUGUGUGUUGUUGGUUGUAGUUUCUAUCCCGUUAAUGCCGUGUAUUAGGGCCUCUAGUGUUGAUCCUAUUUUUUCUCCUAUGAACUUCAUAGUUUUUGGCUUUAUAUUUAGGUCUUUGAUUCGUUUUGAGUUAGUUUUUGUAUAUCACGUGAGGUAUGGGUCCUGUUUCAUUUUUUUGCCAGUGGAUAUCCAGUUUUGCCAGCACCAUUUGUUAAAAAGACUGUCUUUUCCCCAUUUGAUGGACUUUGGGUCCUUGUCGAAGAUCAGGUGACCAUAGGUGGAUGGAUUUACAUCUGGGUUCUCAAUUUUGUUCCAUUGGUCAAUGUAUCUGCCGUUGUACCAGUAUCAGGCUGUUUUGAGUACAGCAGCUGUAUAGUAGGCCCUGAGGUCAAGUAAUGGGAGUCCUCCUACUUUAUUUUUCUUCUUCAAUAGUGCUUUAUUUAUCUGGGGCUUCUUCCCUUUCCAUAUAAAGUUAAUGAUAAGUUUUUCCAUCUCUUUAAAGAAUGUUGUUGGUAUUUGGAUCAGUAUUUCAUUGUAUUUGUAAAUCGUUUUUGGUAUAAUUGUUAUUUUUACAAUGUUGAGUCUCCCUAUCCAUGAGCUUGGUAUAUUUUUCAAUUUAUGUAGAUCUCUUUUGGUUUCUUGCAGUAGUGUUUUUUAUUUUUCUUUGCAUGGGUCUUUAAAGUUGACUUUACUUUGAGGAGGCAGCCCUUCCCCAGUCAUAUUUUGAAUGACUUCCAAUCUGAAGGGAUCAUCUUCCAGCACUAUAUCAAACAAUUUCCGUUGGUAUUCAUAAGGCUUUUACUGGCCAAUAUUUUUCACAAGUAGACUGCCGGGUCCUUUUUCCUGGUCUUAGUCUGGAACCUUCACUGAAACAUGCCCACCAAAGCUUACCCUGCUGGUAUUUGAAAUACAGGUGGCAAAGCUUCCAUCACAGUAUGACAAACUGACAGAAAUGUAUAAAGAUGAUAGAUAAUAGUUAAUGAUGAUAGAUAAAGAUUGAUAAACAUGAUAGACAGAGAGAUGGAUAUUUUUGUUAGGUAACGUCGAAUUGGUUCUGACUCAGAGCAACGCCAUGUACAACAGAGGAAUGACUACCGGUCCUGUGCCAUCCUUACAAUCAUUGUGUUUGAGCCCAUUGUUGCAGCCACUGUGUCAGUCCAUCUCAUUGAGAGUCUUUCUCUUUUUUGCUGAACUUCUACUUUACCAAAUAUGAUGUCCUUCUCCAGGGACUGAUCUCUCCUGAUAACAUGUCCAAAGUAUGUGAGACAAAAUCUUGCCAUCUUUGCUUCUAAGGAGCAUUCUGGCUGUACUUCUUCCAAGACAGAUUUGUUUGUUCUUCCGGCGGUCCGUGGUAUAUUCAAUAUUCUUCACCAACACCGUGAUUCAAAGGCAUCAAUUUUUCUUGGUCUUCCUUACUCAUUGUCCAGCUUUGCCAUGCAUAUAGGGGAGCGAUAUAGAUAGAUACAGAGAGGUAGAGUGACAUAGAAAUAGAGGAAGAGAUCUCUGCGUACCUACCUAGCUGCCUAUCUAUGUCCUUCCCUCCCUCCCUCAGUCCUAUGUCUUGGCUUAACCCGAUAACCCCUAUUUUCUGCUUAUCUUGACUUACACAUGUUUCCAUACAGUCAUUUAACUAAAAAUUUAUGGCCUUCUGUAAGCAACAUCCCAUUCCUCAUGGUAGGGAAAAAGGAACAGCUGUUCUCCAUAGUAGAAUUACAGUUAAUAAAUGUAGAAGGAAUGAUAAAGUACUCAUUAGGCAAAUCCCACAGUAAUCACCGUUGUAGGCAAAAAUCACCAAUGUUUGCUACAAUUACUGGUGAGCAACAGGGUAUUUUCAUAGACUGAAAGUGUCUCCCUAUUGUUGUUAGGUGCUGUUGAGUUGGUUCCGACUCAUAGCGACCCUAUGCACAACAGAACAAAACACUGCCUGGUCCAGAGCCAUCCUUACAAUCAUUGUUAUGCUUGAGCUCAUUGUUGCAGCCACUGUGUCAAUCCACCUCGUUGAGGGCCUUCCUCUUUUCCACUGACCCUGUACUCUGCCAAGCAUGAUGUCCUUCUCCUGGGACUGAUCCCUCCUGGCAACACGUCCAAAGUAUGUAAGAUGCAGUCUCGCCAUCCUUGCUUCUAAGGGGCAUUCUGUGUACUUCUUCUAAGACAGAUUUGUUCGUUCUUUUGGCAGUCCAUGGUAUAUUCAAUAUUCUUCACCAACACCACAAUUCAAAAGCAUCAAUUCUUCAGUCUUCCUUAUUCAUUGCCCAGCUUUCACACACAUAUGAUACGACUGAAAAUACCACGGCUUGGGUCAAACGUACCUUAGUCUUCAUGGUGACAUCUUUAUUUUUCAGCAGUUUAAAAAAGUCCUUUGUAGUAGAUUUACCCAAUGCGAUGCAUCGUUUGAUUUCUUGACUGCUGCUUCCAUGGCUGUUGAUUGUGGAUCCAAGUGAAAAGAAGUCCUUGACAACUUCAAUCUUUUCUCCAUUUAUCAUGAUGUUGCUCACUGGUCCAGUUGUGAGGAUUUUUAUUUUCUUUAUGUUGAGGUGCAAUCCAUACUGAAGGGUGUGGCCUUUGGUCUUCCUUAGUAAGUGCUUCAAGUCCUCUUCACUUUCAGCAAUCAAGGUUGUGUUAUCUUCGUAACGCAGGUUGUUAAUGAGUCUUCCUCCAAUCUUGAUGCUCUGUUCUUGUUCGUAUCGUCCAGGUUCUCAGGUUAUUUGCUCAGCAAACAGAUUGAAUAGGUAUGGUGAAAGGAUACAACCCUGACGCACACCUUUCCUGACUUUAAACCAAUAAGUAUCCCCUUGUUCUGUCUGAAUAGCUGCCUCUUGAUCUAUGUAAAGGCUCCUCAUGUGCAUAAUUAAGUGUUCUGGAAUACCCACUCUUCCCAAUGUUAUCCAUAAUUUGUUAGGAUCCACACAGUUGAAUACCUUUGCAUAGUCAAUAAAACACAGGUAAACAUCCUUCUGGUAUUCUCUGCUUUCAGCCAGGAUCCAUCUGACAUCAGCAAUAAUAUCCCUGGUUCCACGUCCUGUUCUGAAACCGGCCUGAAUUUCUGGCAGUUCCCUGUCGAUCUACUGCUGCAGCCGUUUUUGAAUGAUCUUCAGCAAAAUUUUGCUUGCGUGUGAUAUUAAUGAUAUUGUUCUAUAAUUUCCGCAUUCGGUUGAAUUACCUUUCUUGGGAAUAGGCAUAAAUAUGGAUCUCUUCCAGUCAGUUGGCCAGGAAGCUGUCUUCCAUAUUUCUUGGCAUAGAUGAAUAAGCACCUCCAGCGCUGCAUCUGUUUGUUGAAACAUCUCAAUUGAUAUUCCACCAAUUCCUGGAGCCUUGUUUUUCACCAAUGCCUUCAGAGCAGCUUGGACUUCUUCCUUCAGUAUCAUUGGUUCCUGAUCAUAUGCCACCUCUUGAAAUGCUUGAACAUCGACUACUUCUUUUUGGUAUAAUGACUCUGUGUAUUUCUUCCAUCUUCUUUUGAUGCUUCCUCCAUCAUUUAAUAUUUUCCCCAUAGAAUCCUUGACUAUUGCAACUGGAGGCUUGAAUUUUUUCUUCAGUUCUUUCAGCUUGAGAAAUGCCAAGCGUGUUCUUACCUUUUGGUUUCUAUCUCCAGCUCUUUGCACGUCGUUAUAAUACUUUACUUUGUCUUCUGGAGCCUCCCUUUGAAAUCUUCUGUUCGGUUCUUUUACUUCAUCAUUUCUUCCUUUUGCUUUAACUGCUCGACCUUUUGUGAGCAAGUUUCAGAGUCUCCUCUGACAUCCAUCUUGGUCUUUUCUUUCUUUCCUGUCUUUUCAGUGACCUCUUGCUUUCUUCAUGGUUGUUGUCCUUGAUGUCAUUCCAGAACUCAUCUGGUCUUCAGUCACCAGUGUUCAGUGGGUCAAAUCUAUUCUUGAUAUGGUCUCUAAAUUCAGGUGGGAUAUACUCAGAGUCGUAUUUUGGCUCUCGUGGACUGGCUCUGAUUUUCUUCAGUUUCAGCUUGAACUUGCAUAUGAGCAAUUGAUGGUCUCUUCCACAGUCGGCCCCUGGCCUUUUUCUUACUGAUGACAUUGAGCUUUUCUAUCGUCUCUUUCCACAGAUGUAGUCCAUUUGAUUCCUGUGUGUUCCAUCUGGCAAGGUCCAUGUGUAUAGUCGCCGUUUAUGUUGGCGAAAGAAGGUAUUUGCAAUGAAGAAGUUGUUGGUGUUGCAAAUCUGACAUUUGAUCUCCAGCAUUGUUUCUAUCACCAAUGUCAUAUUUUCCAACUACUGAUCCUUCUUUGUUUCCAACUUUCUCAUUCCAAUCACCAUUAAUUAUUAAUGCAUCUUGAUUGCAUGUUCAAUCAAUUUCAGACUGCAGCAGCUGAUAAAAAUCUUCUAUUUCUUCAUCUUUGGCCCUAGUGGUUGGUGCAUAAAUUUGAAUAAUAGCUGUAUUAGCUGGUCUUCCUUGUAGGCGUAUGGAUAUUAUCCUAUCACUGACAGGGUUGUACUUCAGGAUCGAUCUUGAAAUGUUCUUUUUGACGAUGAAUGCAACACCAUUGCUCUUCAAGUUGUUAUUCCCGGCAUAGUAGACUAUAUGAUUGUCUGAUUUAAAAUGGCCAAUACCAGUCCAUUUCAGCUCACUAAUGCCCAGGAUAUCAAUGUUUAUGGGUUCCAUUUCAUUUUUGACGAUUCUCAAUUUUCCUAGAUUCAUGCUUCAUACAUUCAACUUUCCAAUUAUUAACGGUUGUUUGCAGCUGUUUCUUCUCAUUUUGAGUCAUGCCACAUCAGCAAAUGAAGUUCCUGAAAACUUUACUCCCUCCAUGUCAUUAAGGUCGACUCUACUUUGAGGAGGCAGCUCUUUCCCAGUCAUCUUUUGAGUGCCUUCCAACGUGGUGGGCUCAUCUUCCAGCACUAUAUCAGACAAUGUUCCGCUGCUAUUCAUGAGGUUUUCACUGGCUAAUGCUUUUCAGAACUAGACUGCCAGAUCCUUCUUCCUAGUCUGUCUUAGUCUGGAAGCUUAGUCCAGCAAAUACUUAACCUAAAAUGGUGAACAUUUAACGCUGAAUCCAGCUAACUCAACCUGUGCAAGUUCCAUCAGUAUAUGUGAGGAAGCAGUGUACAACCCACACGUGGUCAAAAUCUUAAAUGACUUAAAAGACACAGUGAAAAGUCAAGGAAAAUAGCCAACCCAAAGCAGUCUAUUUAUUAACCAAGAAGCCCUUCCUGAGGUCCCGGGGCACCAUGGGGAGGCUGGAUAAGCCCCAGGCAGAGUCUUAAGGGAGGCCCAACCAAGGUGGGCUUCCCAACCCAGAUAGCCGAGGCCCCCUUUCCAGAGCCGUGGACCGGACAUCCAAAUGCCAGAGGUGGUUUUUCUAACUUCUCCAACCGUAAGCUCAGCUCACCUUCACAUUUUUUUUUUUACUAAGCAGAAUAUUAAGUUCAUAUGCUUUGGUUCUUAUUUUUGUUUAACAUUUAUAGUACAAUCCAGAGACAUUAAUGACAUUCACUAUGUUCUGUGACCAUGACCACUCUCCAUCUCCAGAGGUGUGUUGUCACCACAAAUGGAACCCAGUGCCCCUUCAGGCACCACUCCUCAUUUCUCCCGCCCCUCAGCCCCUGGCCACCACUCAUACAUUCUGAUCUCUAUGCAUUUGCCUAAGGAGCCCUGGUGGCACAGUGGUUAAGUGCUCGGCUGCUCACCCAAAGGUUGUCAUUUCAAACCCACCAGCUGGUCUGCUGGAGAAACGACCUGGGGAUGUGCUCCCAUAAAGCUUACACCCUAGAAAACCUGGGGGCAGGUCUACUGUGUCCCAUGGGGUCAGAAUGAGCUGGACUCAACUGAAGGCAUCUAGUGACAACAACAAUGCAUUUCCCUCGUUCAGACAUGCCAUAUAAGUGGGAUGAUAUAGUAUUUGUCCUUUUGAAUCUGACUUAUUUCACUUAGCAUGUUUCAAGGUUCAUCAUAUUGUGGCAUGUAUCAGGAAUUCAUUUCUCUUUAUAGAUAUGUAAUAUUCCAUUGUCUGGAUAGACUAUAUUUUGUCUAUCCAUUCAUUUGUUGGUGGACACUUGGGUUGUUGCCUCCGUUUGACUCGUGUGAAUAAUACUGCAAUGAACAUUCAUGUAGAGGUAUCUGAGUCCCUGAUUUCAUGUCCUCUGGUUCUAUAGCCAGGAGUGGAAUUUCUGGGUCAUAUGGUGACCAGUAAUCUUGGUUGCUUUCUAAGAGAUUCCUGAAUUUCAAGCAAAAAGUGGGCACCAUUUGGCUCUGGGAAGCUUUGAGCAUUUUUUUUAUUUUAAU
Long non-coding RNA from Loxodonta africana (African savanna elephant), 11639 nucleotides. RefSeq lists it as uncharacterized. The transcript is spliced from 7 exons. NCBI's taxonomy places the organism in Eukaryota, Metazoa, Chordata, Mammalia, Proboscidea, Elephantidae. The record is from RefSeq and is a predicted model, not a curated record.